Molecule: non-coding RNA, 72 nt
Organism: Xiphophorus maculatus (southern platyfish)
Lineage: Eukaryota; Metazoa; Chordata; Actinopteri; Cyprinodontiformes; Poeciliidae
Source: Rfam
UCCUCGUUAGUAUAGUGGUGAGUAUCCCCGCCUGUCACGCGGGAGACCGGGAUUCGAUUCCCUGACGGGGAG